AGUCCACGCUGUAAACGAUGUCGAUUUGGAGGUUGUGCCCUUGAGGCGUGGCUUCCGGAGCUAACGCGUUAAAUCGACCGCCUGGGGAGUACGGCCGCAAGGUUAAAACUCAAAUGAAUUGACGGGGGCCCGCACAAGCGGUGGAGCAUGUGGUUUAAUUCGAUGCAACGCGAAGAACCUUACCUACUCUUGACAUCCAGAGAACUUAGCAGAGAUGCUUUGGUGCCUUCGGGAACUCUGAGACAGGUGCUGCAUGGCUGUCGUCAGCUCGUGUUGUGAAAUGUUGGGUUAAGUCCCGCAACGAGCGCAACCCUUAUCCUUUGUUGCCAGCGGUUCGGCCGGGAACUCAAAGGAGACUGCCAGUGAUAAACUGGAGGAAGGUGGGGAUGACGUCAAGUCAUCAUGGCCCUUACGAGUAGGGCUACACACGUGCUACAAUGGCAUAUACAAAGAGAAGCGACCUCGCGAGAGCAAGCGGACCUCAUAAAGUAUGUCGUAGUCCGGAUUGGAGUCUGCAACUCGACUCCAUGAAGUCGGAAUCGCUAGUAAUCGUAGAUCAGAAUGCUACGGUGAAUACGUUCCCGGGCCUUGUACACACCGCCCGUCACACCAUGGGAGUGGGUUGCAAAAGAAGUAGGUAGCUUAACCUUCGGGAGGGCGCUUACCACUUUGUGAUUCAUGACUGGG
This 687-nucleotide ribosomal RNA is filed under the name uncultured Serratia sp. RNAcentral describes it as "bacterial SSU rRNA". It matches the Rfam family "Bacterial small subunit ribosomal RNA", at positions 792 to 1479 of the family's 1533-position model. Lineage: Bacteria; Pseudomonadati; Pseudomonadota; Gammaproteobacteria; Enterobacterales; Yersiniaceae. The record is from RNAcentral.